Molecule: ribosomal RNA, 513 nt
Filed under: Salmonella enterica
Lineage: Bacteria; Pseudomonadati; Pseudomonadota; Gammaproteobacteria; Enterobacterales; Enterobacteriaceae
Also listed under: 2 other names
Description: partial 23S ribosomal RNA
Rfam family: Bacterial large subunit ribosomal RNA
Source: RNAcentral
AGACCCGAAACCCGGUGAUCUAGCCAUGGGCAGGUUGAAGGUUGGGUAACACUAACUGGAGGACCGAACCGACUAAUGUUGAAAAAUUAGCGGAUGACCUGUGGCUGGGGGUGAAAGGCCAAUCAAACCGGGAGAUAGCUGGUUCUCCCCGAAAGCUAUUUAGGUAGCGCCUCGUGAAUUCAUCUCCGGGGGUAGAGCACUGUUUCGGCCAGGGGGCCAUCCCGGCUUACCAAUCCGAUGCAAACUGCGAAUACCGGAGAAUGUUAUCACGGGAGACACACGGCGGGUGCUAACGUCCGUCGUGAAGAGGGAAACAACCCAGACCGCCAGCUAAGGUCCCAAAGUCAUGGUUAAGUGGGAAACGAUGUGGGAAGGCCCAGACAGCCAGGAUGUUGGCUUAGAAGCAGCCAUCAUUUAAAGAAAGCGUAAUAGCUCACUGGUCGAGUCGGCCUGCGCGGAAGAUGUAACGGGGCUAAACCAUGCACCGAAGCUGCGGCAGCGACACUGAUGUGU